GAUGUGUCCCUUACCAAGGGUCCUAGAGUGUGAGACAACUGCCUUGUGGGGACUGAGGGACACAAGAUUUGUUCACAUCCCACUUUGUGACUUCAGAUCCCCUGACUCCUGUUUCUGAAGCUGCCUCUGAAAGGGUCUGUGUUCCUAUGAGCAUCCUGAGAGGAGGUGGGCACCCUGGCCCAGCCCUGCCCCCCACGUCCCCUCCUCACCCUGACCUGUGUUCUCUUCCCUGAUCCUCUUUCCAGUUCUUGCAAGUGGGAGCUGGGCUGGGGGGGAGGCCACUGGACACCAUCUCCAUCCUUAUCUUAACUUGACUGCCCUGAGUAAUGACUUCCUGUUGAAUUUGCUUUUUCUAAUUGGUGCCAUGAGGAGUUGAGGGGAUAAUAAAUGAGAGAUUUCCUUAGUUUGAAAGAGGAAAUAAAUGGAAGGAUUGAGAACCUUCCAGAAUCCACAUGUGUGCUGUGCUGCCUCUGUUCCAUGUGAGACGUGAGCAGAGAAACAUGGUCGGGGCCUGUGCCCGGUGAGAGCUCAGGGCAUCAUGGGCUUCAGUGUGGACACUCCCAGGCUCGGCCGUCUUUUCCCCUGUCCCUUUGUCCUUGUCCCUUCAGGAGAACUUUCUUCCACCAGGCCCUGUGAUCUCAGGGACUGAGAAGUCCCCUGGGCCUUGUCCUGUAUUCAGGAGCUUGGUUAGCAAGGGCCUCCUGUCACCAGGUAGCCUACGCUCCAGCCUUGGUCCCAUCAGUAGUCCCUUUAUUCUGUGUUUGUAUUUGGCCUUUUUAGAUUUUUUUUUUAAAUACGGACUUUUCAUUUACAUGUGUGAAAUUACAGUCUCAUUUUGCUCUGGGUGUCCCUCGUCUGCCACAGCCACCAGAGUCAUUUGCCUGUCAUUGUUCCCACAUGUCCGGGGGUCCCUGCUCACAGAUUCUCAGUGGUAUCAAGAGAUCCAUUUUCAGCCUCAUCCAGCUCUUGCCCUCCUUCCAGAGAUGUUNUUUUUUUUUUUUUUUUUUUUUUUUUUUUUUUUUUUUUCGACUUUUCAGGGCCACAGCCAGGGCACAUGGAGGUUCCCAGGCUAGGUGUCUAAUCAGAGCUACAGCUGCUGGCCUACACCACAGCCAUAGGAACGUGGGAUCUGAGCCACACCUGUAAACUACACCACAACACACAGCAGUGCUGGAUCCUUAACGCAGUGAGCAUGGCCAGGGAUCGAACCCGCCACCUCAUGGUUCCUAGUCGGGUUCAUUUCCACUGUGCCACCACGGGAACGCCUGGAUGCUUCUUUCUAACUUUUCCCCAUCCUUUUGUGGGAACGAGAUUCUGGAAGUAGCAACGAGGAGGGACCCAGUGGUUUUCCAUCUUGACCUCAUUCUUGCUGGAUCUGGAUCUUCUCUGCAGCCUGCCCCCUCCUCUGCCCUGAGCUCUCCUCAGCCCAGUGCCGGCUCCAAUCCAAGCCCAUGCAUUUCGAAAGCAGAGUCUGAUAGACUCACAGCAGCGGGAAUCUAGGGCCAGAAGCACAGGAGCAUCUUUCCUGGGGAGAGAAAGAGCGCUGUGUGGGGUGAGCAGACGGACUGGUCUGGCAGGGAGGGGACAUCAGCCCUUGUGAGGAAAGGACAGGCGGCCCUGAUGUCACCGGGAAUGGACAUUGUGCUGGAGCUGCCACCAGACAGCACGUGGCCCGAGGGCAUGUUAGUAAAAGUACUGUCCCUAGAAGAGGGAGGGGCUGUGCACUGAUCCAUCAUUCAACUCUGUUGAACGGAUAUUUGUUGUGCGCCAGACACAGGACACACGCUUUCGGCAUCUGGGAGACCUCAGGGACGUCGCCAGAGACCAAACUUGUCGGCGGUGUGGAGUCUCUGUCCUGGGGGAGGGGCAGAGUGGACACUAUAUGCCUCGUCAGGGAGGGACGUGUCACAUCGGAGGUGGGAGGGGCCUUGGGGAAGGUGACCCCGAGUAGAAGUGUGUGGGGACAGGGUGGGGGGUGAGUGUGGGCCUUCCUGGGAGGGUGACCUUUGAGUCCAGAUGGGAAGGACCCGAAGGAAAUGCCCGCGAGGCUGUGUGGGGACGUUCUCUGCAGGCAGGGGACCCUCCUGGGCGAAGGCACAAGGACAGGAGGGGGUAUGUGUUCAGGGAGGAGCCAGGAGGCCGGCGAGGCUGCCGGAGGGAGGCGCUGGGAUGAGACCCACUGUCCGGCCAGAUCGUGUGGCCUCCCCAUGUGAGAAGGGUUUUGAUUUUGUCUCAGAUGUGGCGUUUGUAAGAUGGUUUGACCGAAGAUCAGGCUGGAGUGAGUGCUCUCUAGAAGCAUGGGUCUGGCUGCUGCACAGACUCAGGAGGGGAAGGUGAGCGACACCGUCAAGGAAGGAAACAGAGCAGCAUCCAGGCUGGAGGAGAUGCUGCUGGUCGGGGCGAGAGCAGGGAAUGGACGAGUCAGUGACUGGAGUCUCGACACGUUCUCAGGAUGGAUUUAGAGCAUUUCCUCCUGGAUCAAAUCUGGACUGUGAGAAAGCAGAAAGAAGGAUGGCACCCCAAACUUGAGACUGUGCAAGUUGGCCUGUGGAAAUGGGGAGAUUCUGGGAGUUCCCGUCGUAGCGCAGUGGUUAACGAAUCCAACUAGGAACGAUGAGCUUUUGGGUUUGAUCCCUGGCCUUGCUCAGUGGGUUAAAGAUCGGGCAUUGCUGUGAGCUGUGGUGUAGGUUGCAGACGUGGCUCAGAUCCCGUGUUGCUGUGGCUCUGGCAUAGGCCAAUGGCAACAGCUCUGAUUAGACCCCUAGCCUGGGAACCUCUAUAUGC
This 2784-nucleotide long non-coding RNA is filed under the name Sus scrofa (pig). Its description in RNAcentral is "lncRNA (ENSSSCG00065079184.1)". The record is from RNAcentral. Lineage: Eukaryota; Metazoa; Chordata; Mammalia; Artiodactyla; Suidae.